Molecule: long non-coding RNA, 410 nt
Organism: Salvia miltiorrhiza (redroot sage)
Lineage: Eukaryota; Viridiplantae; Streptophyta; Magnoliopsida; Lamiales; Lamiaceae
Exons: 3
Source: RefSeq, a predicted model, not a curated record
UUUGCACUGGUGGUAGUAUACUUUGCGAUUGCUACUGUGGUCUCGAUUCGGGGAUGUAGGAGGAAACCCAUUCAGACUGGGGAGAAGGAUAAUUUACUGAAAAAAGGACACGGAAGAGAAGCUUGGAUUUCUAGAAAAUCUACUGCAAAUCAUCUAUCAGUUCAUUAUUGUGAUUGAGUUUAUCAUCUUGGCGGAUCAAGUAGAUGGGAGUCGAUGAGCUAUGAGGACUACUACAAACGAGAAGGCUGAAGCAGAGAACGUCGUUUCAAAUGUCUAGCAAGUUGCGCGCAUUUGUAAUAUUUUUUAAUUAAACAUCUAGCUAAAUAGAAUAUAUGUGAAGUUUUCAUUAUAUUUGGAUGAUAAUGUAUGAAUAUUUUGGAUGAUAUAUAAUAUUGUUAUUGUUGAUUUUA